AGGGCAAGUCUGGUGCCAGCAGCCGCGGUAAUUCCAGCUCCAAUAGCGUAUAUUAAAGUUGUUGCAGUUAAAAAGCUCGUAGUUGAAUUUCGGGAUCAAUCUAUCGGUCGUGCAAUAGUAUGUACUGAUUUUAUUGAUUCCUCCCUUCUGAUGAACUAUGAUGUCAUUAAUUUGGUGUCAUAGGGAAUCAGGACUGUUACUUUGAAAAAAUUAGAGUGUUUAAAGCAGGCUCACGCUUGAAUACAUUAGCAUGGAAUAACGAAAUAGGACGUUUGAUUCUAUUUUGUUGGUUUCUAGGAUCGACGUAAUGAUUAAUAGGGAUAGUUGGGGGCAUUAGUAUUCAAUUGUCAGAGGUGAAAUUCUUGGAUUUAUUGAAGACUAACUACUGCGAAAGCAUUUGCCAAGGAUGUUUUCAUUAAUCAAGAACGAAAGUUAGGGGAUCGAAGACGAUCAGAUACCGUCGUAGUCUUAACCAUAAACUAUGCCGACUAGGGAUCGGAUGAUGUUAAUUUUUUAAUGACUCAUUCGGCGCCUUACGGGAA
This 542-nucleotide ribosomal RNA is filed under the name uncultured Glomeromycotina. RNAcentral's name for it is "SSU rRNA". It matches the Rfam family "Eukaryotic small subunit ribosomal RNA", at positions 552 to 1096 of the family's 1831-position model. The record is from RNAcentral. Lineage: Eukaryota; Fungi; Glomeromycota.